RNA transcript from Prosopis cineraria, 929 nucleotides. It is a transcript of the gene named vascular-related unknown protein 1-like, with no coding region annotated. The record is from RefSeq and is a predicted model, not a curated record. The transcript is spliced from 4 exons. Lineage: Eukaryota; Viridiplantae; Streptophyta; Magnoliopsida; Fabales; Fabaceae.
AACUUUCUCUUUUAUAAAUCCCUCCUCUUCUUCUCCUCUCCCUUCUUUUCAUGCCCAGAUGGACCGCUCUCUCGCUCCUUCUAUGUCCCAAGCUCCACACCCUUCUGCCGAGGAAAGCGGCUGGACUUCUUACUUGCAAGAUCUCUCCAACGCUUCCUGUUUCAGCGUUGGUGGCUCUUCUCUGCUCUCAGAUGCUGCUUCUUCUGCUGCUUGGAAAUUCUCGCACCCCCAUCAUCUUCCUCGUAAGCUCACUUUCAAGAAAUCUAGAACCAAACAGAUAUCUCAGGAUGACCCUCUCGAGGACACUGCUAGCUCCCCCGUCAAUAGUCCCAAGGUUGGGAACUUGCAUCCGACUGAAAAGAUUUCCAGAAAGGUUGAUGAUCUUCAACCGGAUGUUGCUGCUUCUAUGGCCAAGGAAUUCAGAGGAGCAGAACAUUAUUCAGAGUCGGUGAAAGAUGAUGAUGAAAGAAGAAGGGAGUUUAAAGGCAGAGAGUACUAUUGACUGCACAGACUUGAAGGAAAGGGGACUCUGCUUGGUUCCUUUGUCCAUGCUGGUUAAUUAUUUUGGCUAAGUCAUACUUGUCUGUCGACUUGAUCAAACAAAGAGAAAGAAGAAGACAAGUUGAUUAAGAUGAUAUAGUUUGGGCACUUUUGAGGCAGCUAUUGGAUGCAGGUAACUAAAUGGUAGGGAAGUGAAGUGAAGAACAAGGUGGAUCACAAGAUAUAACAAGUCCCACUUGCUUAGAUUUAUUUGUGUAUGGGGGAGAUUCAUUUCAUAAUGUUUCAUCACUCUUCACUUUAACUUUGCCUAAGCAUAAGAAUAGGAACUUGGAAAAAAAAAAAAAAUACACAACCCAAGAUAGUACGGUGUUGGCAGUUAUUGAAUCUGUCCUAGAUAUCAUGUCGAAUAACUGAUAUGAUUAUCACAA